AGCGAACGUUAGCGGCGGGCCUAACACAUGCAAGUCGAACGCGAAAGGUCUUCGGACUGAGUAGAGUGGCGCACGGGUGAGUAACACGUAGGUAAUCUACCCUUUGGCGGGGGAUAACGUUCCGAAAGGAGCGCUAAUACCGCAUAAGACCACGUGGUCUCCGGACCGAGUGGGAAAAGGUGGCCUCUUCUUGAAAGCUACCACCGAAGGAUGAGCCUGCGUCCCAUCAGCUAGUUGGUAAGGUAAUGGCUUACCAAGGCAAAGACGGGUAGCUGGUUUGAGAGAAUGAUCAGCCACACUGGCACUGGAACACGGGCCAGACUCCUACGGGAGGCAGCAGUGAGGAAUAUUGGGCAAUGGGCGAAAGCCUGACCCAGCCACGCCGCGUGAGUGAUGAAGGCCCUCGGGUCGUAAAGCUCUGUGGAGAGGGACGAAAACCCUGGUUUCAAAUAGGCUCCAGGCUUGACGGUACCUCUUUAGCAAGCACCGGCUAACUCUGUGCCAGCAGCCG
RNAcentral lists this ribosomal RNA (511 nucleotides) under uncultured bacterium. RNAcentral describes it as "bacterial SSU rRNA". It matches the Rfam family "Bacterial small subunit ribosomal RNA", at positions 29 to 517 of the family's 1533-position model. The record is from RNAcentral.